AACGAACGCUGGCGGCAUGCCUAACACAUGCAAGUCGAACGAGACCUUCGGGUCUAGUGGCGCACGGGUGCGUAACGCGUGGGAACCUGCCCUUAGGUUCGGAAUAACUCCCCGAAAGGGGUGCUAAUACCGGAUAAUGUCUUCGGACCAAAGAUUUAUCGCCUUUGGAUGGGCCCGCGUUGGAUUAGCUAGUUGGUAGGGUAAAAGCCUACCAAGGCGACGAUCCAUAGCUGGUCUGAGAGGAUGAUCAGCCACACUGGGACUGAGACACGGCCCAGACCUCCUCGGGAGGGAGACGGGGGGAAUAUUUGAAAAUGGGGGAAAGCCUGAUCCAGGAAUUGCGCGGGAGGGAAGAAGGGCUUUGGGUUGUAAAGCCCUUUUUCCCCGGAAGAUAAAGACAGGUCCGGGAGAAAAAAAUCCCGGUAAACCCCGG
RNAcentral lists this ribosomal RNA (433 nucleotides) under uncultured bacterium. RNAcentral's name for it is "partial 16S ribosomal RNA". It matches the Rfam family "Bacterial small subunit ribosomal RNA", at positions 29 to 506 of the family's 1533-position model. The record is from RNAcentral.